This is a long non-coding RNA of Megalobrama amblycephala (Wuchang bream), 1867 nucleotides long. RefSeq lists it as uncharacterized. The transcript is spliced from 5 exons. Lineage: Eukaryota; Metazoa; Chordata; Actinopteri; Cypriniformes; Xenocyprididae. The record is from RefSeq and is a predicted model, not a curated record.
AUCCACCUUCCACCUUUACAAACAACACGAGCAUGUCCACCCCAUCGCCAGCUUAACCUGACACGCGUCUGCGCUGUGUGUUUUUUUCCCCCGUCUGCUUUUUCUGGUUUGGUUUUGUUUUGUUUUAAUCAGAUGGAGGGUCUCUACUGACGAUGUCACGUCUGGGCUCACACACGCACGCUCAGAAGGACAGUGGGCUGUCCGGUGUAGCAUCAUUAGCUCAGCGGAGACGUGGCGGCCCUGACACAUGUCGAGCGGCGUGCAGCCAACCCACGGACGAGCACGAGUCGCUCCUGCAUAAUUUGAAGAGUCAUCCAUGCUUUGAGAAUUCUUCCCGGCAUUCCCCAUGAUCUGAACGGAGCAUCGCUCAGUGCCGUGAUGGCCUUAUUCACACUCAGCACCUCCCCCUCCAGCCCACUGAUGAAUUGACCCACCUGUAGGCCCUCAGGCGGAGCUCCACCAGGAGGCUCAUGUCCACAGCACGGCUGUAUUACAGCACAACAGCACAUGUGGCAGGGUCCAACCUGUUUCUCUUUUCACACAUAAUCAACAGACAGAAGCCCUGCUGGCCUGAGGGUCAUAUGAGGACCUUUGCAUGACCCCUGACCUCAGUUUGAACCAAGACCCUCGAGUUCAUCCACAUCUGCGGCUGUAGAGAAGGUCACAGGAGAGUUCAUGGUAACCUGCCUUUACUGUGACAACAAGCAGAAUGAGUUGAGUUUUGUCGCGCUCUCCACAGCUGCACGGCCGUCUACGCGGCGGGCUUCUCUCUCCCUCUCCCUCAUGUGCACUCAAAAGGUCAAGUAACGAGGGAGAAGAAGUGAAGGAGAAGUAACACGCAACAGCUGAGUGUGUGGGGAAUGGGAGAUGAGUGACAGCAUGUUUGCCACUGCAUAAUGAGUGGUGCUCUUUCCGCACUCCGUAACUGCCUCCAUGCCCCCAGGUGCGCUCAGGCCCAGUGACGCUUCACCUUAACUCCAAUCAGACAGCACAUCGGAAGUUCUUCAGUGAGGUGUGGCCGUCCAGAGAUGCCACUUAGUGUUGGCAUCCCCCUGGGGACGCCUGGAUGUCUUUUCCAGUCAUUUGUACUGAGUAAAUGAGACACGGAGCUGACAAUGUGUGAGUAUAUGUGCCCUGUUCUGACAAGAGGGUAAAUCGCCAAUGUCUAAUGCUGCUCGCUUAAAACGUUGGAUACAUUAUUUUUGUCUUGAUUAAAUUAUGUUCGUCCUUGCUAAUCGGGUCUAUGAAACAUCACUGUCUGCUAUAAACAUGCCUUGUCCCUUUAAUUCCCCUUUGGCUAUUUUUUUUUUUUUUUUUUAAGUAAAGUUUAAGAUUAUUAUCUUGUCCAGUUCUGGAAUGCCUUUUUUGCAGGAAAGUGGACCUCAAGGGCCAGAGUUGAGAACCCCUGCUAUAAAGCCUAUUGUAUCAUAUAUGAUACACUAAAUUAUAAGGCCUCUAAAUCAUCAAUCAUUUAUGUCAUCAAGCUUCACCUGAUGUACACAAUCUACUACAGGCCUUUUACUGUCUGAUUGAUAAGCCUUUUAGUAUAAUUCUAAAAACAUCUAGUGCUGAUGCACAAAGAACACAGACGCAGUCAAAUCAUUUACAUAAUGACCAACGCAAUCUACCAAGAGCAGUGCAAAUUAGAGUUGGGUCACAAAUAAGAAGAGCUGAUGCUCAUCAGGUGCUGGUCGACAUUGUAAUAUACGGAUAACGUCUUCCUCUGGCAUUCCAAAGAAAUUAAAAUGAGUGGAAAAUAUUUUCUCCCUUCUACCACACACUCUCUAUUCUCUGCGGUGUCUCCUCCUAGCAGCAACAAUUGCAGCCAUGUCGCAAAAUGGGUUAAGACAUGCUUUUUUGGGGCAUU